Molecule: ribosomal RNA, 1013 nt
Filed under: Salpa thompsoni
Lineage: Eukaryota; Metazoa; Chordata; Thaliacea; Salpida; Salpidae
Description: large subunit ribosomal RNA
Rfam family: Archaeal large subunit ribosomal RNA (bases 612-982)
Source: RNAcentral
AUUAAACAUAUGUUAAAAAGUACAGGAGAUGGAAAGUUUCAAGUAAACCCUUAAAGGUUUUCAAGAUAAUUAUAUAAAUAAUAUUCUUCUUGGUUACGAUGCAAGUAAUCUCGGUAUGGGAGGAUUUUUUGUUGUCUUAAGACUUUUACUAAAAUAAUAAAUCAAUAUUGUUUUUAUAUCACUCAACAAACGUUGCUAUAUACUAAUCACCUUCCAUGUUAUCUAGACAAUAGUAUAAUUCUAAAAGGGUCAGCUUUUUAAGACUCUGUACUCUUACCAUAUUUAAAUGCUUUGUUAGAUUUAUUUAAAAUAUUAGGGUAUGUAGUUUACUAUUUCAAUUUUAAAAGCAUACGCUUGCAAUUAUUACAUAUAAAGUAUAAAUUUAAUGAAACAACUCAAUAAAAUUGUUAGGUGUUUACUAAAUACGCUCUUAUUAGAUACUUAUUAAUAAGUUGAUCUUUUAUACUAUUUUAUAACCUCAGCAAACUUUAUUUCUGCAUUCUGUAAUUUAUUACAAUUACCAUUAAUAAAGGUACCCUUUAUAAAUAAUUUUAUGUUUCUAUUAUCAAUAAGUGAAAAUUUAUUUUUCAGUUAAAAAUCUGAAAUAUUAAGAGAAGAAGAAAAGACCCCGGGUGGUUAAGUACUAUUGAUGUCUAAUAAUAUUUUAUUACAUCGAGGAUACUUUUUCUGGGGUGGGUACCUUUCUUUAUUUAGCAUAGGUUACUAGUUUUAACAAUAUAUUUGUAAAAAUUUAUCCAUAAUAGUACACUAAUUUUUACUUUAUGAAUUAUACCAAACUAACCCCGGGGUUAACAGCGCAAUCAUCAAUGACAGACCUUAUGCAAUUGGUGUUUUACGACCUCGAUGUCGACUUAAGGAAACUAGUUCUUGCAGUGAAGAAGCUAAGUACGUAUGUUCGCCGUUUAAAUCCUUACGUGAGUUGGGUUAAGGUCGGUGAGAAUUAGACCGGAUUUUAUCUCUCAGAAAUUUUUGUGUUAGUACGAAAGGAAAGC